Pimephales promelas (fathead minnow) is the source of this 339-nucleotide non-coding RNA. The record is from RefSeq and is a predicted model, not a curated record. NCBI's taxonomy places the organism in Eukaryota, Metazoa, Chordata, Actinopteri, Cypriniformes, Leuciscidae.
GUUUGUUUAAUCUAUUCGUGAAUGUUGAGUGUUUAUGUUGACUGGGAACUAAAGUGCAUUAAUUUUAAGGUGUGUUGCACACGGACGCUUUUUGAGAUGCAACAGGAAAGAACGGACUUUGGUCAGAAGUUAUUCUCCGCGUGUGGAAUAGAAGUUUUACACGUUUUUCUGAGAUAAAAGUAAAGAUGCUUUUUGUGUUUUCCUUUUGAGACGGGUGUUUCAAGUGAACUCAUUCCUUCUGGGUUAAAUGCAGCCAGCGAGUUUGACGGUGGAUUUUGAUGGUGAAUGUGACGAAGGAGAGAAAGAUGACAACUGUAAUAAAUCCAUCAGUAACCAGAA